UACGGGAGGCAGCAGUGGGGAAUAUUGCACAAUGGGCGAAAGCCUGAUGCAGCUAUGCCGCGUGUAUGAAGAAGGCCUUAGGGUUGUAAAGUACUUUCAUCGGGGAGGAAAAAACAAAACUAAUAAUUUUAUUUCUUGACGUUACCCGAAAAAGAAGCACCGGCUAACUCCGUGCCAGCAGCCGCGGUAAUACGGAGGGUGCUAGCGUUAAUCAGAAUUACUGGGCGUAAAGAGCACGUAGGUGGUUUUUUUAAGUCAGAUGUGAAAUCCCUGGGCUUAACCUAGGAACUGCAUUUUGAAACUGAAAUACUAGAGUAUCGUAGAGGGAGGUAGAAUUCUAGGUGUAGCGGUGAAAUGCGUAGAUAUCUGGAGGAAUACCUGUGGCGAAAGCGGCCUCCUAAACGAAUACUGACACUGAGGUGCGAAAGCGUGGGGAGCAAACAGGGAUUAGAUACC
RNAcentral lists this ribosomal RNA (456 nucleotides) under uncultured bacterium. RNAcentral describes it as "bacterial SSU rRNA". It matches the Rfam family "Bacterial small subunit ribosomal RNA", at positions 340 to 786 of the family's 1533-position model. The record is from RNAcentral.